Homo sapiens (human) is the source of this 1093-nucleotide long non-coding RNA. NCBI's taxonomy places the organism in Eukaryota, Metazoa, Chordata, Mammalia, Primates, Hominidae. The record is from Ensembl.
GAGGCCACCUGUUUUCAAAUCCAGCCCCCACCCUUGUGUGACCAUGGGCUAAUUGCUUAAGCUCCCCACAGUUCCAAUUUCUCCAUAUAGUUGGCAUACAAGGGUUUGUUUUGAGCAUUGAUGUAAGUUAUAUCCAGUAAUAUUUGCAAACAUCUUAGAAUGUGGCUGGUGUAGGGUAUAGAUGAAAGGAUUCAGCAUCGGAGCCACCAUUGAAUACAUGAUGGUUGACAGAGUGUCGCUCUCAGGCAUAUGGGGGGAUGAAGGGCUGAAAUAGACGGCGAUGGCUGUGCCGUAAAACAACACCACCACUGACAGGUGGCAGCUGCAGGUGGAAACAGCUCUCUGCUUGCCCUGAGUAGAGGUGAUCUUCAGAACAGUGGAGAAGAUAAGUCCAUAAGAUACGAGGAUACAGACAAGGGGCGUGAGAGCCAAUAGACCUCCUACUGCAAAAAUGAUCAUUACAUUGAAGGAGACGUCAGAGCAAGAGAGCUGCAGGAGAGGAUUGAGAUCACAGAAGAAAUGAUGGAUGAUAUUGGAGGCACAGAAGGACAGCUGUGCUAUUAGGACAGUAUGCAGGAGGGCGUGGAGGUAAGUAACAAGCCACAGUCCAGCCACUAGCUGGACACAAAGGCACAGGUUCAUUCUGGCGGUGUAAUGUAAGGGGUGGCAAAUCGCCACAUAUCUAUCAUACGCCAUCACACACAGAAGGAGGCUGUCCAUAUUCACAAAAGAAACGAAGAAGAAGAGCUGGGUGAGGCAGCCUGCAAAAGAGAUAGUCUUGGUGCCAGUCAAGAUAUUCACUACCAUUUGGGGGACUGUAGUCGACGUAAAGCAGAUGUCAACAAAGGCCAAGUUACUAAGGAAGAAGUACAUAGGGGAAUGGAGGUGAGAGUCAAAGCCAAUCGUCGCAAUGAUGAGCAUGUUCCCCAAGGUGGUGGCUAAAUACAUACAGAGAAAGAGCACAGACAGGAGGUGCUGCUGCUCUGCUGAGCUAGGAAGUCCCAGAAGGACGAAUUCCCUGACAACUGUUAGAUUUCUUUUUUCCAUAUUCCCAACAAAUCUAGAAAAAUAAGUUAUUAAAUUGUAAAAGCCA